AUCGCGUCUGUUAGCACUUAUACCGUGAAACUGCGAAUGGCUCAUUAAAUCAGUUAUCGUUUAUUUGAUAGUACCUUACUACAUGGAUAACCGUGGUAAUUCUAGAGCUAAUACAUGCUAAAAACCUCGACUUCGGAAGGGGUGUAUUUAUUAGAUAAAAAACCAAUGCCCUUCGGGGCUGCUUGGUGAUUCAUAAUAACUUAACGAAUCGCAUGGCCUUGCGCCGGCGAUGGUUCAUUCAAAUUUCUGCCCUAUCAACUUUCGAUGGUAGGAUAGUGGCCUACCAUGGUAUCAACGGGUAACGGGGAAUUAGGGUUCGAUUCCGGAGAGGGAGCCUGAGAAACGGCUACCACAUCCAAGGAAGGCAGCAGGCGCGCAAAUUACCCAAUCCCGACACGGGGAGGUAGUGACAAUAAAUACUGAUACAGGGCUCUUAUGGGUCUUGUAAUUGGAAUGAGUACAAUUUAAAUCCCUUAACGRGGAACAACUNGAGGGCAAGUCUNGUGAACAUUCAGUUYUAAUCAUGCUGACGCCAGAGAUAGUAGGGCUCCCCUUCGAAUAGAGGGGAGUUAUGCCUGCUAGUCGAGUAUUCACAAACAGCGAUGGGUGAAUACCGGCGAGGUGACCUGGUACGGGGAAGCCUAAGGGCCCGGCUCUUUUAGGGAGGCCGACCGCCUAUGGUAAUCCCGUGGCGAGUUAUUACUUUACUGUAAUAGCCGUCGUAACGCGCGGAAAGGCACCGGCUAUCAUUUCUUGAUAGCUCAAGGGACGUGCUGUCCCAUCCGAAAGGAUGCUUUAAGCUGGAGCACCCAUCGUGUAAAGGCUUAAGGGGGUUAAUAGAAAAAUUAACCUGGGUUGCAUUUUGAAAGAUGCAAGAUAAAACGGCCAGCAGCCGCGGUAAUUCCAGCUCCAGUARCGUAUAUUAAAGUUGUUGCAGUUAAAAA
RNAcentral lists this ribosomal RNA (944 nucleotides) under Tubeufia sp. ST-2018b. RNAcentral's name for it is "bacterial SSU rRNA". It matches the Rfam family "Eukaryotic small subunit ribosomal RNA", at positions 55 to 627 of the family's 1831-position model. The record is from RNAcentral. Lineage: Eukaryota; Fungi; Ascomycota; Dothideomycetes; Tubeufiales; Tubeufiaceae.